Molecule: ribosomal RNA, 252 nt
Filed under: uncultured prokaryote
Description: partial 16S ribosomal RNA
Rfam family: Bacterial small subunit ribosomal RNA
Source: RNAcentral
ACGAAGGGGGCUAGCGUUGCUCGGAAUCACUGGGCGUAAAGGGCGCGUAGGCGGACUCUUAAGUCGGGGGGUGAAAGCCCAGGGCUCAACCCUGGAAUUGCCUUCGAUACUGGGAGUCUUGAGUUCGGAAGAGGUUGGUGGAACUGCGAGUGUAGAGGUGAAAUUCGUAGAUAUUCGCAAGAACACCGGUGGCGAAGGCGGCCAACUGGUCCGAUACUGACGCUGAGGCGCGAAAGCGUGGGGAGCAAGCAG